AAUGAACGUUGGCGGCGUGGAUUAGGCAUGCAAGUCGUGCGGAAGUGGCCCGCAAGGGUUACUUUAGCGGCGAAAGGGAGAGUAAUACGUAGGUACCUACCCCUGGAACCGGGAUAGCUGCGGGAAACUGCAGGUAAUACCGGAUAACGUCUCCGGACCAAAGGUGUGAUUCCGUCUGGGGAGGGGCCUGCGUCCUAUUAGCUAGUUGGUGAGGUGAUGGCUCACCAAGGCGAAGCUGGGUACGGGGUAUGAGAGUAUGCCCCCGCUCACUGGGACUGAGACACUGCCCAGACACCUACGGGUGGCUGCAGUCGAGGAUCUUCGGCAAUGGGCGCAAGCCUGACCGAGCGACGCCGCGUGUGGGAUGAAGGCCCUCGGGUUGUAAACCACUGUCAGAGGGGAUGAAGUGCCAUGGGGUUCUCUCCAUGGUUUGACAUAUCCUCAGAGGAAGGACGGGCUAAGUUCGUGCCAGCAGCCGCGGUAA
RNAcentral lists this ribosomal RNA (484 nucleotides) under uncultured bacterium. RNAcentral describes it as "partial 16S ribosomal RNA". It matches the Rfam family "Bacterial small subunit ribosomal RNA", at positions 28 to 523 of the family's 1533-position model. The record is from RNAcentral.